RNAcentral lists this ribosomal RNA (253 nucleotides) under uncultured bacterium. RNAcentral's name for it is "partial 16S ribosomal RNA". It matches the Rfam family "Bacterial small subunit ribosomal RNA", at positions 524 to 776 of the family's 1533-position model. The record is from RNAcentral.
UACGGAGGGUGCGAGCGUUGUCCGGAAUCAUUGGGCGUAAAGGGCGCGUAGGCGGCCCGGUCAGUUCGUGGUGAAAGCGCGGGGCUCAACUCCGCGUCGGCCAUGGAUACUGCUGGGCUCGAGCACUGUAGAGGCAGGCGGAAUUCCGGGUGUAGCGGUGGAAUGCGUAGAGAUCCGGAAGAACACCGGUGGCGAAGGCGGCCUGCUGGGCAGUAGCUGACGCUGAGGCGCGACAGCGUGGGGAGCAAACAGG